Hippocampus comes (tiger tail seahorse) is the source of this 308-nucleotide long non-coding RNA. RefSeq lists it as uncharacterized. The record is from RefSeq and is a predicted model, not a curated record. Lineage: Eukaryota; Metazoa; Chordata; Actinopteri; Syngnathiformes; Syngnathidae. The transcript has 2 exons.
UUCUGCUGUUGCUGCUGCGUGGAGGCUGACUUGACCAACUUGUGGUUGCUGAAGAUUCGACUCGCCUUGCUCUUGUUAUUCGUCUUGGAUGUGGGAUCGGAUCUUCUCUCCGGUCAUUUUUUAAAGCGCUGACGUGAAGGGAGCAGAGGGUGACGAGGACCCUCCGGGCCAACUGAUGCAAUUCGCCAGCUGGAAGUCUUCAAGCAACCAAUGUGAAGAAAAGAACCUGAAAGACACUUUAAUUGGGGGCUUCUCGACGAAAACAAAACGCCGCAAAUUCUUUUUUUCAGUGGUUAGUGUGUAAAAAA